RNAcentral lists this ribosomal RNA (371 nucleotides) under uncultured bacterium. RNAcentral's name for it is "bacterial SSU rRNA". It matches the Rfam family "Bacterial small subunit ribosomal RNA", at positions 29 to 426 of the family's 1533-position model. The record is from RNAcentral.
AACGAACGCUGGCGGCAGGCCUCAAACAUGCAAGUCUAGGGGGUGUAGCAAUACAUCACCGGCGGACGGGUGCGUAACGCGUGGGAAUAUACCUAUUGGUUCGGAACAACACAGGGAAACUUGUGCUAAUACCGAAUGUGCCCUUACGGGGAAAGAUUUAUCGCCAAUGGAUUAGCCCGCGUCCGAUUAGCUAGUUGGUGAGGUAACGGCUCACCAAGGCUCCGAUCGGUAGCUGUUCUGAGAGGAAGAUCAGCCACACUGGGACUGAGACACGGCCCAGACUCCUACGGGAGGCAGCAGUUGGGAAUCUUGGACAAUGGGGGGAAACCCUGAUCCAGCCAUGCCGCGUGAGUGAUGAAGGCCUCGGUUGU